Molecule: ribosomal RNA, 750 nt
Filed under: Triticum aestivum (bread wheat)
Lineage: Eukaryota; Viridiplantae; Streptophyta; Magnoliopsida; Poales; Poaceae
Description: partial small subunit ribosomal RNA
Source: RNAcentral
AUGGACCAUGCCGCCGUGACCGGAUGGGCCGUUCUCCUCCUCCCUUCUUCCUCACAUGCGAGCAUGCGCAACUCACAUGUCGCUCACUUCUCUGUUGAGGAGUGCAGUUCAUCGGUGGGGCAGUCUGGCUGGCGGCCAUGUGUUGUUCUUGCUCCUACCUCGGAUCCAAUUCUCCAUGACAUCCAUAGAAGGAAAAAGAAUCUCAUCUCCAAAGUGUUCAGUGCAGAGAAGAUGAACCAUGCAAAAACUCAAGGUGGAUCAUGGUGGCUUCACUGCUGGCGGAACGACAGAGGGUUUGAAUGCUACCAGGGUGAUUCAAAGGGAGUAUAUAGGUUAGACGAGCCGCUGACAAAGACAGGCCUCUAUUCUAAAUUUUUACUUGCAAAGAUGGACCAUCAGCUACAUAAUAUGUUGGCUAAACUCUCACAGGUUUGGAGUCGACCAAGGAAGUCACAGUUUAAGAGCUCGAGGAGGAGGGGCGUGUGGAGGUUCCCGCCGCCAGUGGCUGCACUGCUGGUCUUCGUCGCCUGCUCCUGUCAGAUCCAGCAUGACCUACCCUAUCGAUUCUCCGUCGCUUCACUCUGCUUCAUGUGCAUAUGUGCAGAGAAGAUGACGACCCUGCCCCUGUUCUUCGCCAGCCACACUCUCCCUUAUGCGUUCUUGCCUGCGGGCAAGUUUUUGUAUGUUCAUCUAAUAAUGGAAAAGAUUCAAACCUUCAAUUUUGUAGGAACGAUUUUAUUGCUCGAGUAA